CCCAACUAUCCCUAUUAAUCAUUACGGUGAUCCUAGAAACCAACGAAAUAGAAUCAGUCCGUCCUAUUUCAUUAUUCCAUGCUAAUGUAUUCAGACGAUAGUCUGCUUUAAACACUCUAAUUUUUUCAAAGUAACAGUCCUGAUUUCCCAUCACACCAAAUGAAUGGCAUCCACGCUCGCCAGAAGGUGAGACCCGCAACGACGCAGUGCUCGCCCAGAGGACGGACCACCCGCACGGGCCUAAGGUUCAACUACGAGCUUUUUAACUGCAACAACUUUAAUAUACGCUAUUGGAGCUGGAAUUACCGCGGCUGCUGGCACCAGACUUGCCCUCCAA
This 337-nucleotide unclassified non-coding RNA is filed under the name uncultured Paraglomeraceae. RNAcentral describes it as "sequence contains 18S rRNA gene". Lineage: Eukaryota; Fungi; Glomeromycota; Glomeromycetes; Paraglomerales. The record is from RNAcentral.